GUGAGGAAUAUUGGUCAAUGGGCGCAAGCCUGAACCAGCCAUGCCGCGUGCAGGAAGACGGUCCUAUGGAUUGUAAACUGCUUUUAUUUGGGAAUAAACUCCGGUACGUGUACCGGCCUGAAGGUACCAAAUGAAUAAGCACCGGCUAACUCCGUGCCAGCAGCCGCGGUAAUACGGAGGGUGCAAGCGUUAUCCGGAAUCAUUGGGUUUAAAGGGUCCGCAGGCGGUCUUAUAAGUCAGUGGUGAAAGCCUACAGCUCAACUGUAGAACUGCCAUUGAUACUGUUGGACUUGAAUUCGAUCGAAGUGGGCUGAAUGUGACAUGUAGCGGUGGAAUGCUUAGAUAUGUCACAGAACACCGAUAGCGAAGGCAGCUCACUAAGUCUGGAGUGACGCUCAGGUACGAAAGCGUGGGAAACAAACAGGAUUAGAAACCCCUGUAGUCC
Molecule: ribosomal RNA, 445 nt
Filed under: uncultured bacterium
Lineage: Bacteria
Description: partial 16S ribosomal RNA
Rfam family: Bacterial small subunit ribosomal RNA
Source: RNAcentral